Molecule: ribosomal RNA, 781 nt
Filed under: Streptomyces sp.
Lineage: Bacteria; Bacillati; Actinomycetota; Actinomycetes; Kitasatosporales; Streptomycetaceae
Description: bacterial SSU rRNA
Rfam family: Bacterial small subunit ribosomal RNA
Source: RNAcentral
GCUUCGGUGGUGGAUUAGUGGCGAACGGGUGAGUAACACGUGGGCAAUCUGCCCUUCACUCUGGGACAAGCCCUGGAAACGGGGUCUAAUACCGGAUACCACUUCGUCCCGCAUGGGACGGGGUUGAAAGCUCCGGCGGUGAAGGAUGAGCCCGCGGCCUAUCAGCUUGUUGGUGGGGUGAUGGCCUACCAAGGCGACGACGGGUAGCCGGCCUGAGAGGGCGACCGGCCACACUGGGACUGAGACACGGCCCAGACUCCUACGGGAGGCAGCAGUGGGGAAUAUUGCACAAUGGGCGAAAGCCUGAUGCAGCGACGCCGCGUGAGGGAUGACGGCCUUCGGGUUGUAAACCUCUUUCAGCAGGGAAGAAGCGCAAGUGACGGUACCUGCAGAAGAAGCGCCGGCUAACUACGUGCCAGCAGCCGCGGUAAUACGUAGGGCGCAAGCGUUGUCCGGAAUUAUUGGGCGUAAAGAGCUCGUAGGCGGCUUGUCGCGUCGGUUGUGAAAGCCCGGGGCUUAACCCCGGGUCUGCAGUCGAUACGGGCAGGCUAGAGUGUGGUAGGGGAGAUCGGAAUUCCUGGUGUAGCGGUGAAAUGCGCAGAUAUCAGGAGGAACACCGGUGGCGAAGGCGGAUCUCUGGGCCAUUACUGACGCUGAGGAGCGAAAGCGUGGGGAGCGAACAGGAUUAGAUACCCUGGUAGUCCACGCCGUAAACGUUGGGAACUAGGUGUUGGCGACAUUCCACGUCGUCGGUGCCGCAGCUAACGCAUUAAGUUCCCCG